Molecule: small nuclear RNA, 108 nt
Filed under: Balaenoptera musculus (blue whale)
Lineage: Eukaryota; Metazoa; Chordata; Mammalia; Artiodactyla; Balaenopteridae
Source: RNAcentral
GUGCUCGUUUCGGCAGCACAUUUACUAAAAUUGGAACGAUACAGAGAAGAUUAGCAUGGCCCCCUGUGCAAGGAUGACACGCAAAUUCGUGAAGCAUUCCAUAUUUUU